GACGAACGCUGGCGGCGUGCUUAACACAUGCAAGUCGAGCGGUAAGGCCCUUUCGGGGGUACACGAGCGGCGAACGGGUGAGUAACACGUGGGUGACCUGCCCUUAGCUCUGGGAUAAGCCUGGGAAACUGGGUCUAAUACCGGAUAUGACUCCAUGACGCAUGUUGUGGGGUGGAAAGCCUUGUGCGGCUAGGGAUGGGCCUGCGGCCUAUCAGCUUGUUGGUGGGGUGANGGCCUACCAAGGCGACGACGGAUAGCCGGCCUGAGAGGGCGACCGGCCACACUGGGACUGAGACACGGCCCAGACUCCUACGGGAGGCAGCAGUGGGGAAUCUUGCGCAAUGGGCGAAAGCCUGACGCAGCGACGCCGCGUGGGGAUGACGGCCU
RNAcentral lists this ribosomal RNA (387 nucleotides) under uncultured bacterium. RNAcentral describes it as "bacterial SSU rRNA". It matches the Rfam family "Bacterial small subunit ribosomal RNA", at positions 28 to 417 of the family's 1533-position model. The record is from RNAcentral.